UCCCAGACUCCUACGGGAGGCAGCAGUGAGGAAUAUUGGUCAAUGGACGAGAGUCUGAACCAGCCAAGUAGCGUGAAGGAUGACUGCCCUAUGGGUUGUAAACUUCUUUUAUAUGGGAAUAAAAUGUUCCACGUGUGGGAUUUUGUAUGUACCAUAUGAAUAAGGAUCGGCUACUCCGUGCCAGCAGCCGCGGUAAUACGGAGGAUCCGAGCGUUAUCCGGAUUUAUUGGGUUUAAAGGGUGCGCAGGCGGAAGAUCAAGUCAGCGGUAAAAUUGGGGGGCUCAACCUCUUCGAGCCGUUGAAACUGGUUUUCUUGAGUGAGCGAGAAGUAUGCGGAAUGCGUGGUGUAGCGGUGAAAUGCUUAGAUAUUGCGCAGAACUCCGAUUGCGAAGGCAGCAUACCGGCGGCGAUCUGACGCUGAGGCACGAAAGCGUGGGUAUCGAACAGGAUUAGAUACCCCCGUAC
Molecule: ribosomal RNA, 465 nt
Filed under: uncultured bacterium
Lineage: Bacteria
Description: bacterial SSU rRNA
Rfam family: Bacterial small subunit ribosomal RNA
Source: RNAcentral